This 188-nucleotide non-coding RNA is filed under the name Bacillus sp. (in: firmicutes). Its description in RNAcentral is "Bacillus sp. Lysine sequence". It matches the Rfam family "Lysine riboswitch aptamer". Rfam says of the family: Riboswitches are metabolite binding domains within certain messenger RNAs that serve as precision sensors for their corresponding targets. Allosteric rearrangement of mRNA structure is mediated by ligand binding, and this results in modulation of gene expression. Lineage: Bacteria; Bacillati; Bacillota; Bacilli; Caryophanales; Bacillaceae. The record is from RNAcentral.
CAAACUGAUAGAGGUGCGGUCCUUAAAGAGUAACCGUCUGGAGAAGUGUGGGCUUCGAAGAAGGAUGGCGAAAGGGAAGGAUCGCCGAAGUGAAAAUAAGACCCAUCAUUAUUUUUGCUGGUUCUGCAUUGAAUAAGUGCAGGAUUGUCAGCAUGAAGGUACAUUCAUGCUGGAGGGCUAUCUCAGAU